GAGAGAGAGAAGAAUCUUGCCCCGGAAGCUGUAGUGUGGCCCAUUGAGUCACACAGUUUACACUUACUUUAGUCCAUUCAUCUUUACUUGCAAGUGUUCACUGUCAUAAGCCUUUGGUCUGACUCGAGGUCUCUGGUUUCUGCUAUGCCACCGAUAAUGGGCUCUCACUGGGGUUCCUCUUGGCUAUCCUGUUGUCCUGUGUCAUGGAGAUCCUGCUGUUUUGGAUCUAUAGGUUCAUCCCCUUCACAUGCUCCGAAAGUUCACAGAUGAGGGGGAUGUUGGGGUGGGCCAACCCUUAGCCGUAGUUCUGGGGUGGUAGCUGGGUUGGUCAGCCCGCCAGCUUUUUCCUCAUCGCUCCUACCUGGACAAGCUCUCCAGCACUGCUUCAGUUACCCUGCCCAGUGCGGCCUGCAGCAGGGAGCAGGGCCAGUUCUCCUGCUCUCAGGUCCUCAGAUCUGAGUCAUCCACGCUCACACCACCAGGGCCAGCUCCUCUUUUCUUUUUUCUGCCUUAGUUUUUGUUCUGUUUUGUUUUUUAAACUUGACACAAGCCAGGGGCUUCUGGGAAGAGGGAAGCUGAGUUGAGAGACUGCCAGCGUCAGCUUGACCUUAGAAGAGUCUGUAAGGCGCUUUCUUGAUUGAUGGCUGAUGUGGGAAGGCUCAACCUAUGGUGGGUGGUACUGCCCCUGGUCAGGCGGUCCUGGAGGAGCAACUCAUGGGAAACAAGCCAGUAAGCAGUACCCCUCCCUGGCUUCUGCAUCAGUUCUUGUGUCCAGGUUCCUAUCUUGAGUUCCUGCCCUGACUUUCCUCAAGGAUGGAGUGUACCCUUAGACGUGUAAGCCAAGUAAACUCUUUCCUCCCUGAGUUCCUUUUGAUGAUGAUCUUUAGUUUUUACUUUUUUUAAAAAAAAAAUUUCUUAUUUGAAUGAUGAUCUUUUUACAGCAAUAGAAAUCAGACUAAGAGAGGCCCACACCCAUUGGGCAGUGGUGGUGCACGCCUUUAAUCCCAGUAUUCAGGGGGCAGAGGCAGGCGGAUCUCUCUGAGUUCGAGGCCAGCCUGGUCUACAGAGCUAGAUCUCGAGAAACCCUGUCUCAAAAAAAAAAAAAAAUCUUUACAAAAACAACUUUAAAAAAUCCACACUCUGCUCAUCCUGGUUCAUCCUGAAAUUCUGUUCGUGUUUACUGAGCCGAGGUUCUGAAAGGUUAAGGGAACUCUUCAGACUGCCGGUGAGUGUGGACUGGGCCGAUGGCAAUGACAACGGUGUCAUCAGUUGCCUUUUCUGUCUCAAAAUUGCUGUUUCUUUUUUGUUUUAUUCUGUUGUUUAUGUCUAUGGGCGUGGGCUCUUCAAGUGUGUGCGUCAACCACGUGUAUGCCCAGUGCCCUCAAAAACCAGAUGAGAGCACUGAAUUCUCUGGAACUGGAGUUACAGGUGGUUGUGAGACACCAUGUGGGGAUUAGGAACUGAAUCCGGGUCCUUUGCAAGAGCAGCCGGUAAGUUCUGAGCCAUGGCUCUCACCCCACAUUACUUUUUCUUAAAAUCUACCCCAUUACAUCCUAAUAAAACUUCCUAUUUCCCUGAGUCUAUGAUGCUCUGCUUUGUCUACAGUUGACUCUAGGAGUAUCCAUUAUCUAUCUGUGUGUGCGAGGCCGUUAGCCAGGACCUCUGUGAGGAUGAUAGAAUCUGCCUUGAGGAGUUUACCACUCAGGGCAGCGGAGAAAAGCUGCCAAGCCUUACUGUACCUAGCUCAGAUGGACCCUCCAGGUGCUGGCAGGAAGGCUGACUCUAGGGCAGCGGAUGGGGAACUGGAAAGUCCUCGCCACAGGUGAAGUCUUGGAAGAUAGACUGAAGGACAAGUUCAAGACGAAGCCUGCCGAGCCUGUUUGCAGUUUAGGGUGUAUCCCAUAGCUCCAGGAGAAGACUGUACUGGACUGGUGUGAUCAGUGCUGGGACAUAUGACAGACAAGUUGGUGUACGACAGACAGCAGGCCCCUGUGGGGACGACAAGAGUAUGGAGCCAAGAUGUUCACCGAGAAGAGUCGGGAUUAAAUAGUGAUUGAAUGGGAAUUGCUGCUACAGGCAGACACCGAGCUUUGAGCUACACAAAGAAGCUCGCCCAAGGUCACAGAUCGUCACUGGCCGAUCUUGACCUGAACCCCAAGCUCACCAAGUCUUUAAAGUCAUCCUUCUGAAUGUUCAGAAUCCCAUAACCGGGAAAGAAAAGACUGAAGGCCUGAUGCCAUCCGGAUGAUGACCAUCUCCCGGGAAGAGCUUCUGAAAACUUAUCAGACCACCUUGGAGACACACUGGAGCCCACACAAUGAUGAGUCACUAACGAGAGGGACCACGCCUUGGUUGGAACUGUUUAAUUAAACAUGCAUAUACCUCUUGCCUUCAAUUUAAAACUGUCAGUACCAGAAAGUUGGCUUGGGAGGGGGUGGGCACUGAACCUAUUUACUUGUUCCCUUCCCAAUAUGGUCAAGUUGAAUAAACCUCUUUCCCUAUACUUAA
This is a non-coding RNA of Myodes glareolus (Bank vole), 2508 nucleotides long. Lineage: Eukaryota; Metazoa; Chordata; Mammalia; Rodentia; Cricetidae. The record is from RefSeq and is a predicted model, not a curated record.